UUUUACUUAUAAAUGGUUUGAAAACUUUCAUUUACAAAAUGCAAAAUAAGAAAAAUAUGACUAACAUCAACAUGUUUGUUUGUGCUUUGAUCAUCUCUCUUUUUAUGUUUCUCAAUGAACUCUCUGCUCAUCGGAUAAGUGAUAUCCCUUGCAAAGUUGAUAGUGAUUGUCCACAACCAAGCAUAAACCGUUACAAUUGGUGGUGCCGAAAAGAUUUUUGUGUGAAAUAUUACUUGUGAGGGAACAUUUAAUAAGUAUUGCUAGCUCAUGUCUGUAAUAUAUGUAUUAAUUUCUAGAAUAUUAUAUCUGAUAAUAAAUACUAGAUCGCAUUUCCGUGAGUUGGCACGUGUCAUAUAUAUGUAUGCAAAUAAUAAUCAUGGUUAUAUAUAACAAAAUACUAUAUAACCAUGAUGAGUUAACUCGUCUAAAUUAUAAAAAAUAAAUUUUUUUUUUUCAAA
Long non-coding RNA from Trifolium pratense (red clover), 458 nucleotides. RefSeq lists it as uncharacterized. The transcript is spliced from 3 exons. Lineage: Eukaryota; Viridiplantae; Streptophyta; Magnoliopsida; Fabales; Fabaceae. The record is from RefSeq and is a predicted model, not a curated record.